This 32-nucleotide small RNA is filed under the name Bombyx mori (domestic silkworm). Its description in RNAcentral is "ovarian small RNA-28693". Lineage: Eukaryota; Metazoa; Arthropoda; Insecta; Lepidoptera; Bombycidae. The record is from RNAcentral.
UCGCCGAAAGGUGAGUCCUCUGAAUGGGGUUU